This 2046-nucleotide long non-coding RNA is filed under the name Homo sapiens (human). RNAcentral describes it as "HSALNT0344856". Lineage: Eukaryota; Metazoa; Chordata; Mammalia; Primates; Hominidae. The record is from RNAcentral.
UUCUGCCCAUGGUCAUCCGCACCUGCACGACUUAGGGUCCAUGUUCCUUGGACGGGAAGAGACAGGCAGGAGUCGGAAUGAUGAACCAGCACACUGGGGCGUUUUCUCAUGUAGCCCAAGUGACCCCAUGGUCUUCUCGAGCUUUGGAACCAGUCGCGUCCCCUUUGACACUGCACCCGGCUCCCAGUCUCUCAAUCUUGUUGGCCCUCCGGCGAUCUCCCGUUGGAUGAAUUGCUCCUGCUGAAACUCCAGUCCCCUUUGAUUUGCGCUUCAUUAAUUAUUCAUGAUUCAGGUUGGAAGGCCUGCUGACGACCCCCUGUGGCCGUUCUCUGAGCUUUCCUGUCACAUCGUUUCCUUCCACGCUCUUUGGUUCCUUAUGGUCCUGCUCCCUCUGCUGUCAGAGGAGCAGAGAGUUGAUCUUAUUCAUUCUGGAUACGGAUACUUUCUAGGUGAUCUGGAUAAUCAAGAUAACGACCCUCAACAGCGGCGGAGAGGGAGCAGCCAGUUGGUGUGUCUCAGAAAAUCCCACUGAGUUCCGAGGCCUCCUAGAUGUGGAAUCCUGCUGAGAGUUGUUCCCAGGUCAGAGAAUGGAGAGAGCCUGUGCAUGAUGGGAUAUCCCUGCCUAGAUCUUUCAGUGAGUCUCUACCUCAGCUACUCUUAGGAUCAGGGGGAGAACCAUGGUGUCAGACAUCCGGAAAGAAGACGGGAUGAAUGUUUUACCUCUGAAGUACAUCCCAAAUGUGGGAGUUAACUUCAGCUUUGCUGGGGUCUAUUUGGCCAGUGAAACUCUGCCUGGUUCCUUCGCACAUCCGGAAGCCACUUCACGGGGGGCCGUCGCAACUGGAACCACACACUUGGCAUCGGCGGUUGAGCCAAAUGGGGACUCGUGGUGCAAGCAACGCUCCCCACGUGUUAGCGUGCGUGAGAUGCGGUUGGCGGGAUUUUACUAGGUGCGUGUUGGUAGAGUGGGGCUGAGGUUUUCUUGCUCCUGUGGAUGUAUAGCAAGUCAAAGGUCCUGCCCAGCCCUGCGGUCCCCUCAGUCAACUCUGUUUCGGAGACGUAACGAUUUGGAUUGCCAACAAGUCAAGAAAUGUUCAAGCCCUUGGAUGUAGGGUAAAGAAAGAGAGAUCAGACUGUCACUGUGUCUAUGUAGAAGGGGAAGACAUAAGAGACUCCAUUUUGAAAAAGACCUGUAGUUUAAACAAUUGCUUUGCUGAGAUGUUGAUCAUUUGUAGCUUUGCCGCAGCCCCUUCCUUUGACCCAACUUGGAGCUCACAAAAACCUGUGUUGUAUAAAAUCGAGGUUUAAGGGAUCUAGGGCUGUGCAGGACGCGCCUUGUUAACCAAAUGUUUACGAGCAGUAUACUUGGUAGGAGUCAUUGCCAUUCCCUAGUCUCAAUAAACCAGGGGCGCAAUGCACCGUGGAAAGCCACAGGGACCUCUGCCCUUGAAAGCAGGUUAUUGUCCAAGGUUUCUCCCCAUGUGACAGUCUGAAAUAUGGCCUCGUGGGAUGGGAAAGACCUGACUGUCCCCCAGCCUGACACCCGCAAUGGGUCUGUGCUGAGGUGGAUUAGUCAAAGAGGAAAGCCUCUUGCAGUUCAGAUGGAGGAAGGCCACUGUCUCCUGCUUGCCCCUGGGAACUGAAUGUCUCGGUGUAAAGCCCGAUCGUACAUUUGUUCAACUCUGAGCUCGGAGAAAAGCUGCCCUGUGGCGGGAGGCGAGACAUGUUGGCAGUAAUGCUGCCUUGUUAUUCUUUACUCCGCUGAGAUAUUUGUGUGGAGAGAAACAUAAAUCUGGCCUACGUGCACGUCCAGGCAUAGUACCUUCCCUUGAACUUAAUAAUGAUAUGGAUUCUUUUGCUCACGUGUUUGUUUUUGUUGUUGCUGUUGAACUUCCCCUUAUUAUCACCCUGCUCCCCUACUGCAUUCCUUUGUGCUGUAAUAAUGAUAAUCAUAAUCAAUAAAAACUGAGGGAACUCAGAGGCCGGUGCCGGUGCAGGUCCUAGGUGUGCUGAGUGCCGGUCCCCUGGACCCACUGUUGUCUCCCU